CAUGGGAUCAGGCUACUUUCUUGUAGCGGCAGUUGGCAACACUGGUUGGUUUCAAGCCAACUGUAAAAACACAGCUUAAGCACAGCUGCGUGCUGUGUGUGUGUGUGUGUGUGUGUGUGUGUGUGUAUCGCAUGUGGAUUGUAUUCGCAUUUAUUUGUUUUUUAUUGUGUUUUAUUGCUUUUCAGUUACCAGCUGGAAUUUGUUCACACACAUUUCUAUGAAUAUUUUAAAUACAUGUGCUGCCCACGCUUCAAUAAUUACACAGCAUUUAUUUAUUUUUUUUCUGCUACCAUUUUUUGCAUUCAUUACAAAAUUUAUUAGCAUGUCUUUGUUAUGUUUUAUUUCAAUUGUUUGGCCAUAUAAAGUUGUUGCGGAAGUUUAUAAAGUAUUGUCGAGGGCUUUUAGAUUUAAUUGAAUUUUCGUUGAAUUAUAGACAGAACAAUAAUAACAAACUAUUUGCGCUGAUUAAAAACUACAACUAAAACAAUAACAAAAACUCAAACAUUAAUCUAGUUGGCUGUGUUUCGAUUUCGGCGAAAUUUUCUACAAACUAAAAUCAAAUUAGAAACUAACAAUCAAAAAGUGAACCAACAAAGCGUGGCACAAAUCAGCAACAAGAUUAUUUAUUAAACACGACGUUAUUUUCAAACAAUCGACUACCGAUAGACGCGAUCCGACGAUGCGUCAACAACCGCGCGAGCGCAAAGCUAAAAACUCACUAAGCUCGACGCGUCGUCAACAGCAGCAGCAGAGCUCACACGACGGCAGCAGCAGCAGCAGCAGCCUGUGUGUGUGAGUGAGAGAGCACAAUGACAUACAGCCUGCUGCUGACUGAAUGUGAGAGAGCGCUGAUGGGAGCAAGUGCAUUGCUUUGGAGAGUGGGCUGUGUCUGCCCUGUGUGCAUGUGUGUGUGUGUGUGAUUACCGGCGUGUGAAACUUUAUGCAAAUUAGCCUGUAUUUGUAUAUGCGGAAAAUAAAAGUUUAUGUCAGUUUCUUUGACAAUAAAAACAAAACAAAAAAACUGCUGAUACGGUACAAUGAGUGUGUGAUACGACCAAGCUAAAUUUUUAAACGGCCUAACACAGCAGCCGCUGCACGGACGAGAACCUGCCUCAAUUUGUUUCUGUGUUGAUAUUUUCUGUGUGUUUGUUAAAAAGUUCAAUGCACGUUGAUUACACAACAAAACCAAAAACAACAACAACAACAGCGAAGACAAUAAGAACAACAAUUUUGCGCUUUUAUUACAAACAUAAACGUUUUUAUGUAUUUUUUUUCCACACAAUUGUUGCUUGAUGCUUUUGUUACGUAAACCGUUGGGUGGCCAAAUGUUAAGUUUCGCCUCUCAUCAAAGCAGCGUCGACAUCUGCUGAUGUCAUCAACCAAUCGCGAUUGCUGCAGCGCAGAGUGCAGAAAAAUAUGCGUCGACUCUUUUUCGGCACAGUGUCAAGUUUGACAGGCCAACAAAGAAGAAGAAGAAGAGGUGGAAGAAGAAGAUGCAGAAAAAAAGAAAUUUUGCUUGCCAAUAAAAAUGAAAUUCUGUUUUGAUAUGCAAAUUCAGCAGCGCCUGAGAGGAGACACUCUUGCAAAAAUUAUACGUAUGCAUGUA
Drosophila virilis is the source of this 1606-nucleotide non-coding RNA. NCBI's taxonomy places the organism in Eukaryota, Metazoa, Arthropoda, Insecta, Diptera, Drosophilidae. The record is from RefSeq and is a predicted model, not a curated record.